UCCCCAUUAACUGGGGCAGUUUUCUGUGAAAAAUUUAACACAGAAUAGGGGUUGCGCUCGUUAACCGACUGAACGGGACACUUCACAGCACGAGCUGACGACAACCGUGCAGCACCUGUCUUCUGGCUCCUUGCGGCACAGCCCUGUUUCCAAGGCCUUCCAGAGAUGUCAAAUCUUGGUAAGGUUCUUCGCUUGCUAUCGAAUUAAACCACACGCUCCUCCACUUGUGCAGGUCCCCGUCAAUUCCUUUGAGUUUUAAGCUUGCGCUCGUACUCCCCAGGCGGCACACUUAACGCGUUAGCUUCGGUCCAAAGAGGGGUCGAUACCUCCCAAGACCUAGUAAUCAUCGUUUAUGGCAUGGACUAC
RNAcentral lists this unclassified non-coding RNA (366 nucleotides) under uncultured bacterium. RNAcentral's name for it is "contains 16S-23S intergenic spacer region". The record is from RNAcentral.